GAUGAAGAACGCAGUGAAAUGCGAUACGUAAUGUGAAUUGCAAAUUCAGUGAAUCAUCGAGUCUUUGAACGCACAUUGCGCCCCCUGGUAUUCCGGGGGGCAUGCCUGUCCGAGCGUCAUUGCUGCCCUCAAGCACGGCUUGUGUGUUGGGCCCCGUCCUCCGAUCCCGGGGGACGGGCCCGAAAGGCAGCGGCGGCACCGCGUCCGGUCCUCGAGCGUAUGGGGCUUUGUCACCCGCUCUGUAGGCCCGGCCGGCGCUUGCCGAUCAACCCAAAUUUUUAUCCAGGUUGACCUCGGAUCAGGUAGGGAUACCCGCUGAACUUAAGCAUAUCAAUAGCGGAGGA
Molecule: unclassified non-coding RNA, 344 nt
Filed under: soil metagenome
Description: partial contains 5.8S ribosomal RNA, internal transcribed spacer 2, and large subunit ribosomal RNA
Rfam family: 5.8S ribosomal RNA (bases 1-119)
Source: RNAcentral